Molecule: transfer RNA, 78 nt
Filed under: Verrucomicrobiota bacterium
Lineage: Bacteria; Pseudomonadati; Verrucomicrobiota
Also listed under: 2 other names
Description: Verrucomicrobia bacterium (groundwater metagenome) tRNA-Asp
Rfam family: tRNA
About the family: Transfer RNA (tRNA) molecules are approximately 80 nucleotides in length.
Source: RNAcentral
GGGGGCGUAGCUCAAUUGGUUUAGAGCGCUGCCCUGUCACGGCAGAGGUUACGGGUUCGAGCCCCGCCGCUCCCGCCA